This 63-nucleotide ribosomal RNA is filed under the name Ganoderma adspersum. RNAcentral describes it as "partial 28S ribosomal RNA". The stretch from base 8 to 63 matches the Rfam family "Eukaryotic large subunit ribosomal RNA", at positions 1 to 56 of the family's 3401-position model. The record is from RNAcentral. Lineage: Eukaryota; Fungi; Basidiomycota; Agaricomycetes; Polyporales; Polyporaceae.
UGACCUCUGACCUCAAAUCAGGUAGGACUACCCGCUGAACUUAAGCAUAUCAAUAAGCGGAGA